AAACUUUUCAGCUAGAGUAUGAUAGAGGAAAGCAGAAUUUCUAGUGUAGAGGUGAAAUUCGUAGAUAUUAGAAAGAAUACCAAUUGCGAAGGCAGCUUUCUGGAUCAUUACUGACACUGAGGAACGAAAGCAUGGGUAGCGAAGAGGAUUAGAUACCCUCGUAGUCCAUGCCGUAAACGAUGUGUGUUAGACGUUGGAAAUUUAUUUUCAGUGUCGCAGCGAAAGCGAUAAACACACCGCCUGGGGAGUACGACCGCAAGGUUAAAACUCAAAUGAAUUGACGGGGACCCGCACAAGUAGUGGAGCAUGUGGUUUAAUUCGAAGAUACGCGCAGAACCUUACCAACACUUGACAUGUUCGUCGCGACUUUAAGAGAUUAAAGUUUUCGGUUCGGCCGGACGAAACACAGGUGCUGCAUGGCUGUCGUCAGCUCGUGUCGUGAGAUGUUGGGUUAAGUCCCGCAACGAGCGCAACCCUCACUUUUAGUUGCCAUCAUUAAGUUGGGCACUCUGAAAGAACUGCCAGUGAUAAGCUGGAGGAAGGUGGGGAUGACGUCAAGUCCUCAUGGCCCUUACGUGUUGGGCUACACACGUGCUACAAUGGUAUCUACAACAGGAAGCAAGACGGCGACGUUAAGCAAAUCCUUAAAAGAUACCUCAGUUCGGAUUGCACUCUGCAACUCGAGUGCAUGAAGCUGGAAUUACUAGUAAUCGUGGAUCAGCGUGCCACGGUGAAUGCGUUCCCGGGUCUUGUACACACCGCCCGUCACACCAUGGGAGUUGGUUCUACCUUAAGGCAAGGUUUAAAACCCUUGACCACGGUAUAGUCAGCGACUGGGGUGAAGUCGUAACAAGGUAGCCGUAGGGGAACCUGCGGCUG
This 879-nucleotide ribosomal RNA is filed under the name marine metagenome. RNAcentral describes it as "bacterial SSU rRNA". It matches the Rfam family "Bacterial small subunit ribosomal RNA", at positions 630 to 1520 of the family's 1533-position model. The record is from RNAcentral.